CGAAAACUUCACACCGGGAGAAAUCCCGAUGAGGGGAUUCCAAGUGCUAGCACUAUGUGUUAGCUGUUCUUUUGUCUAAAAAACAGAAGAAGUAAGGGCCGGGUAAGACGGGUGCCAGCCGCCGCGGUAAUACCCGCGGCCCGAGUGGUGGUCGAUAUUAUUGAGCCUAAAACGUCCGUAGCCGGUCUUGUAAAUCCUUGGGUAAAUCGGCCAGCUUAACUGUCCGAAGUCCGGGGAGACUGCAAGACUUGGGAUCGGGAGAGGUCAGAGGUACUUCUGGGGUAGGGGUAAAAUCCUGUAAUCCUGGAAGGACCACCGGUGGCGAAGGCGUCUGACUAGAACGAAUUCGACGGUGAGGGACGAAGCCCUGGGGCGCAAACGGGAUUAGAUACCCCGGUAGUCCAGGGUGUAAACGCUGCGGGCUUGGUGUUGGGGGUCCUUUGUGGGCGCCCAGUGCCGGAGAGAAGUUGUUAAGCCUGCUGCUUGGGGAGUACGUCCGCAAGGAUGAAACUUAAAGGAAUUGGCGGGGGAGCAC
Molecule: ribosomal RNA, 535 nt
Filed under: uncultured archaeon
Lineage: Archaea
Description: bacterial SSU rRNA
Rfam family: Archaeal small subunit ribosomal RNA
Source: RNAcentral